This is a long non-coding RNA of Alosa alosa (allis shad), 848 nucleotides long. RefSeq lists it as uncharacterized. Lineage: Eukaryota; Metazoa; Chordata; Actinopteri; Clupeiformes; Clupeidae. The transcript is spliced from 3 exons. The record is from RefSeq and is a predicted model, not a curated record.
CUAUCUGAACAAAUACUUGCAACAUUCUAUGUGAGGCAUGUAGCCAGCCUGUGUGUGCAAUGCACAAAAUAAGUGCCAUGCACCUUUGACAAUAGCCAAGGACGACAUCCACGCACAGAUCUAUAACCCACACAAGUCAGUGAAGUAGAAAACUCUGUGUCGAGGCUGUAUUCGUCCUGUUGCAAUGCCGUAUGCCUCAGCAGCAGUGACACAGUUCCAGGGAGCAUACAGGACCACAUCAGUGAUGGUGGGUGGAGGCAGCAGACAGCCGGCUGGAAUCAUGAAGUCUCUGAUGGCUCCGUGUGCCACAAAGGUUAGUCUGCCAUGUGUAUUACAGACCAGAUUAAAUGACAAGGAGUCACAGGGAAUACUUUAUGUUCCUGUGAUGUAAGUCCCAUCGAAAAAACAAUUGAGAGUCCAGACCUGAAUCCGUCAAAAAGAACAUACAUGUAGGCCAGACUGAUGGCAAAGAACAGGUACGGACCAGAAUCAUUGUGAAGAUGGAGAGGCAUUGUAGAGCAAAUAAAGAUGUUUCCAUUGAUUAUUUAAAAAGGGUAUGAAUAAUUUUGGACAUGCCAUUUUUCAAUAAAAAAUUUAAAAAGAUGGGGGCCCUGUGGCGCACCUGGCUACACCUGCCUUUAGUCCAGCCUGGGUCUCCCAGUCACUUCCUGUCAAUCUCCAACUGCCCCCUGACCACGCAAUUACAAUCGAUAAUCUGGCAUGGAUGUGUAAUUUCUUUGGAAUUGAACAACUGCAUUAAAAACCUUUGUUUACAAGAUUGCUACACUUCUUAAACAAUUUGGUAUGAGUUUAAUGCACCGAUUUAAGCUUAAUUUCACAGCUAAUUA